Molecule: ribosomal RNA, 404 nt
Filed under: uncultured Eubacteriales bacterium
Lineage: Bacteria; Bacillati; Bacillota; Clostridia; Eubacteriales
Description: bacterial SSU rRNA
Rfam family: Bacterial small subunit ribosomal RNA
Source: RNAcentral
GGGGAAUAUUGGGCAAUGGGCGCAAGCCUGACCCAGCAACGCCGCGUGAAGGAAGAAGGCUUUCGGGUUGUAAACUUCUUUUAUUCGGGACGAAAAAAAUGACGGUACCGAAUGAAUAAGCCACGGCUAACUACGUGCCAGCAGCCGCGGUAAUACGUAGGUGGCAAGCGUUGUCCGGAAUUACUGGGUGUAAAGGAUGCGUAGGCGGAUAUGUAAGUCAGAUGUGAAACCCCCGGGCUUAACCCGGGGCAUGCAUUUGAGACUGCAUAUCUAGAGUGCAGGAGAGGAAAGCGGAAUUCCUAGUGUAGCGGUGAAAUGCGUAGAUAUUAGGAAGAACACCAGUGGCGAAGGCGGCUUUCUGGACUGUAACUGACGCUGAUGCAUGAAAGCGUGGGGAGCAAACA